RNAcentral lists this ribosomal RNA (510 nucleotides) under uncultured bacterium. RNAcentral's name for it is "bacterial SSU rRNA". It matches the Rfam family "Bacterial small subunit ribosomal RNA", at positions 9 to 514 of the family's 1533-position model. The record is from RNAcentral.
GAGUUUGAUCGUGGCUCAGAUUGAACGCUGGCGGCAGGCCUAACACAUGCAAGUCGAGCGGUAGAGAGAAGCUUGCUUCUCUUGAGAGCGGCGGACGGGUGAGUAAUGCCUAGGAAUCUGCCUGGUAGUGGGGGAUAACGCUCGGAAACGGACGCUAACACCGCAUACGUCCUACGGGAGAAAGCAGGGGACCUUCGGGCCUUGCGCUAUCAGAUGAGCCUAGGUCGGAUUAGCUAGUUGGUGAGGUAAUGGCUCACCAAGGCGACGAUCCGUAACUGGUCUGAGAGGAUGAUCAGUCACACUGGAACUGAGACACGGUCCAGACUCCUACGGGAGGCAGCAGUGGGGAAUAUUGGACAAUGGGCGAAAGCCUGAUCCAGCCAUGCCGCGUGUGUGAAGAAGGUCUUCGGAUUGUAAAGCACUUUAAGUUGGGAGGAAGGGCAGUAAAUUAAUACUUUGCUGUUUUGACGUUACCGACAGAAUAAGCACCGGCUAACUCUGUGCCAGCCG